RNAcentral lists this ribosomal RNA (158 nucleotides) under uncultured Phialocephala. Its description in RNAcentral is "5.8S ribosomal RNA". It matches the Rfam family "5.8S ribosomal RNA". From Rfam's summary of the family: 5.8S ribosomal RNA (5.8S rRNA) is a component of the large subunit of the eukaryotic ribosome. It is transcribed by RNA polymerase I as part of the 45S precursor that also contains 18S and 28S rRNA. Lineage: Eukaryota; Fungi; Ascomycota; Leotiomycetes; Helotiales. The record is from RNAcentral.
AAACUUUCAACAACGGAUCUCUUGGUUCUGGCAUCGAUGAAGAACGCAGCGAAAUGCGAUAAGUAAUGUGAAUUGCAGAAUUCAGUGAAUCAUCGAAUCUUUGAACGCACAUUGCGCCCUGUGGUAUUCCGCAGGGCAUGCCUGUUCGAGCGUCAUCU